GUCUACGGCCAUGCUACCCUGAGCAAGCCAGAUCCUGUCUGAUCUCAGAAGCUAAGCAGGGUCGGGCCUGGUUAGCUCUUGGAUGGGAGACCACUUAGGAAGACCAGGUGCUAUAGGUG
Molecule: ribosomal RNA, 119 nt
Filed under: Pteropus alecto (black flying fox)
Lineage: Eukaryota; Metazoa; Chordata; Mammalia; Chiroptera; Pteropodidae
Source: RNAcentral